AGGUAAAGGCUCACCAAGGCGACGAUCCGUAGCUGGUCUGAGAGGACGACCAGCCACACUGGAACUGAGACACGGUCCAGACUCCUACGGGAGGCAGCAGUGGGGAAUUUUGGACAAUGGGGGCAACCCUGAUCCAGCCAUUCCGCGUGAGUGAAGAAGGCCUUCGGGUUGUAAAGCUCUUUCGGCAGGAACGAAACGGUGGCCCCUAAUACGGGUUACUAAUGACGGUACCUGAAGAAGAAGCACCGGCUAACUACGUGCCAGCAGCCGCGGUAAUACGUAGGGUGCGAGCGUUAAUCGGAAUUACUGGGCGUAAAGCGUGCGCAGGCGGUUAUGUAAGACAGGUGUGAAAUCCCCGGGCUUAACCUGGGAACUGCGCUUGUGACUGCAUAACUCGAGUGUGGCAGAGGGGGGUGGAAUUCCACGUGUAGCAGUGAAAUGCGUAGGGAUGUGGAGGAACACCGAUGGCGAAGGCAGCCCCCUGGGUCAACACUGACGCUCAUGCACGAAAGCGUGGGGAGCAAACAGGAUUAGAUACCCUGGUAGUCCACGCCCUAAACGAUGCGAACUAGGUGUUGGGGAAGGAGACUUUCUUAGUACCGCAGCUAACGCGUGAAGUUCGCCGCCUGGGGAGUACGGUCGCAAGAUUAAAACUCAAAGGAAUUGACGGGGACCCGCACAAGCGGUGGAUGAUGUGGAUUAAUUCGAUGCAACGCGAAAAACCUUACCUACCCUUGACAUGUCAGGAAGUCUGCUGAGAGGUGGAUGUGCUCGAAAGAGAACCUGAACACAGGUGCUGCAUGGCUGUCGUCAGCUCGUGUCGUGAGAUGUUGGGUUAAGUCCCGCAACGAGCGCAACCCUUGUCAUUAAUUGCCAUCAUUCAGUUGGGCACUUUAAUGAGACUGCCGGUGACAAACCGGAGGAAGGUGGGGAUGACGUCAAGUCCUCAUGGCCCUUAUGGGUAGGGCUUCACACGUCAUACAAUGGUCGGUACAGAGGGUCGCCAACCCGCGAGGGGGAGCCAAUCCCACAAAGCCGAUCGUAGUCCGGAUCGCAGUCUGCAACUCGACUGCGUGAAGUCGGAAUCGCUAGUAAUCGUGGAUCAGCAUGUCACGGUGAAUACGUUCCCGGGUCUUGUACACACCGCCCGUCACACCAUGGGAGUGGGUUCCACCAGAAGUAGGUAGUCUAACCGCAAGGAGGGCGCUUACCACGGUGGGAUUCAUGACUGGGGUGAAGUCGAAACAAGGUA
This 1252-nucleotide ribosomal RNA is filed under the name metagenome. RNAcentral describes it as "bacterial SSU rRNA". It matches the Rfam family "Bacterial small subunit ribosomal RNA", at positions 255 to 1498 of the family's 1533-position model. The record is from RNAcentral.